RNAcentral lists this ribosomal RNA (253 nucleotides) under uncultured bacterium. RNAcentral's name for it is "partial 16S ribosomal RNA". It matches the Rfam family "Bacterial small subunit ribosomal RNA", at positions 524 to 776 of the family's 1533-position model. The record is from RNAcentral.
UACGAAGGUGGCAAGCGUUGUUCGGAUUUACUGGGCGUACAGGGAGCGUAGGCGGUUGGAUAAGCCCUCCGUGAAAUCUCCAGGCUUAACCUGGAAAGUGCAGAGGGGACUGUUCAGCUAGAGGAUGGGAGAGGAGCGCGGAAUUCCCGGUGUAGCGGUGUAAUGCGUAGAGAUCGGGAGGAAGGCCGGUGGCGAAGGCGGCGCUCUGGAACAUUUCUGACGCUGAGGCUCGAAAGCGUGGGGAGCAAACAGG